UACGUAGGGUGCGAGCGUUGUCCGGAUUCAUUGGGCGUAAAGAGCGUGUAGGCGGCCAGGUAGGUCGGUUGUGAAAACUGGAGGCUCAACCUUCAGACGUCGACCGAAACCAUCUGGCUAGAGUCCGGGAGAGGAGAGUGGAAUUCCUGGUGUAGCGGUGAAAUGCGCAGAUAUCAGGAAGAACACCCGUGGCGAAAGCGGCUCUCUGGAACGGUACUGACGCUGAGACGCGAAAGCGUGGGAGCGAACAGG
RNAcentral lists this ribosomal RNA (252 nucleotides) under uncultured bacterium. RNAcentral's name for it is "partial 16S ribosomal RNA". It matches the Rfam family "Bacterial small subunit ribosomal RNA", at positions 524 to 776 of the family's 1533-position model. The record is from RNAcentral.